ACACGGGGCCGGCCCUGACGGCGCUCCCGGGAGCAGCCGGUGCGCGGCGGCGGCACGACCCCCUGCGCCUCCGAGGCAGACGAGCCCAUCGGGAGAAGGCGAGGCAGGGAAGUGCCUAAACCAACGGGAUAGGAUUCAAAACUAGGUGACAAACUCAUGAGAAAUCCAACCUGGCUGAAUGUCUGAGAGGCUGCUACUGUAUCAACAUCACAAGAUAAAGCACUCUGGUAUCACCUGCCCAUAUCCUCCUUAGUGUCACCCAAGACAUUUGACUCUGAUGUGGUUAAUUGAUAACUUUUCUUGCUCCACUUUACAAUGUUUUGUUUCCUACAUCUUAUUACCUUGGGACACAAAAGUGGCAGAGUUGUUGAGAGCUGAUGACAAUAAAAAGGAGAACACUAGAGGAAAUGAGACAGGAAAGAAAGCCAAAGCUGAUUUUCCAACUCUAUGCUGACUCCAACCUGCAGAAAAAGCUGAAUAUAGAAAUCUUCUUCCAUAUAUGAUGAAGUCACUCCACUUACGACAUAACACACAAAGGAAUCACCUGGCUUUUUUUUUUUAACCCAGAAGAGUUGUGCUGGGGACCAUGCCCCAUCCCGCUGAUACAGAUCCUGAAUGGAAUAAUCAGGAAUGGCACAGUGCAGGUGUCAAUAUCAAAGUAAGGCCGCAGAAUUUUUGAGAGGACCCUCCAAAUACUGAGAACUUCUGUUGCACUCGAAACAGUCUCCUGGAUUUCUAUAUUUUUAUGUGAAGGGCUCUUAUUGAUGUCCCCCAGAAUCCAGACUCAGACCUAUUUCUCCAAAAAGGUCCAAUUGGGUUGCUACAUAGUAGCAAGGGUUUAUCUUCAUGCUCACCUAGCAUUCCAGGCCCC
RNAcentral lists this long non-coding RNA (871 nucleotides) under Homo sapiens (human). RNAcentral's name for it is "non-protein coding lnc-CDK12-2:3". The record is from RNAcentral. Lineage: Eukaryota; Metazoa; Chordata; Mammalia; Primates; Hominidae.